Molecule: long non-coding RNA, 3044 nt
Organism: Aegilops tauschii subsp. strangulata
Lineage: Eukaryota; Viridiplantae; Streptophyta; Magnoliopsida; Poales; Poaceae
Source: RefSeq, a predicted model, not a curated record
CCGGCCUCCUUCGACCCCCCUCCGCUCCUACGUCUCCUACGUGAAAAAAGCGACCACCCGCGUGCUUCCCUCCCCCCACCAACGAUCCAGGCGGCGUACCGCCCUAUCCAACCGCACUACCCUAUGCCAUGUCGCCGCUCCGCCGCGCUUCAUCUUUGUCAAGCCGCCGGGAGAUGGGAAGCGGGCCCCUUCUCUAUUGAUGAGGUUAUACCGGAGGUUGCACAACAGUUCGGGAGGUCAAGGUUGACCAUAGCCCAAGAUCCCGGGCGACGAUCGGGCGACCGGCCAAGCACUGGCGGACAUCACAAAUCAAAUGAGGCAGCGGUGUGGUGUCCAUGUUCCCGUCGGCGCGCGAAGCCCCUCUGCGUGGUUGUCUUAUGUGACUCCUCUGCAAGGUCACCUCCACGCAGCGGCAGAAUUGUUCGACGAGUUCAUCCGGGGACUGCGCAUGGAGCACGGCAAUGUCUCCACCCUGUCGUUGCUCAACAACGACCUCGAGACGACCGGCUUGGGGUUUCCCGCUUGUCGUUGAGGCCUUCCGCGACUCAGUCCACAGCGCCGCCUGCUUUGGCCUGAUCGGGAAUUCGGGAUAGAAGACGUACAACCACCCAUAAGUUUCUCUUCCUUCUCCUUUCUUAACUUUUUGUAAUAUCCCGAAUCAUCUAUUUCAUCAUCACCAAGAUACAGCCAUACAUGAGAGUUUGCGAAUGGGGAAUUGGAGAUACGAGGAGGAAGCAGGGGGUGAGGUUCAGAGAACGAGGGAGAGAGAGUUCAGGGAGUUCAGAGAACGAGGGGGUGAGGUUCCCAGGAGAUACGAGGAGGAAGCAGGGGGCCAGCUCACAAAGCUCUCUCGCAUGGAUAUUCUGAGCCAGGCGACUUAUUCCCGCUGACACAGGCGUAGGUGUGACAAUUUUGUACGGUUCUCUUCUCCGUCUGAUGCCUAAUAGAGAAUUCGAGUAAAAAAGUCCAGCUUGAUUUCUUAAUUAUGAUCUGCACUAAUAGUACAGAUGCAUAUUCUCUCAAAUUUUAUACGGUUCUCUUCUUGGUCUGAUUCCUAAUACAAAACCUGUGCUGGAUCUUGAUUUAUUGGUUAUGAAAUGCACUAUUAUUUUUGGUCAGAUUCUUCCAGCAACUUCUAAUGGAGAUGGGAUAAUAGUUCCAGGAUAAAGAAGAGGUAUGAGCAUGGACUUCUAAUACUUCUCUAUAAGUUUGACAUUUUUUGACACUUCCUACAAAAAGAAAGUAAAUCUGUCAUUGCUGGGACGUAGUCCACGAGAAAAUGUGCUUUUCAGUUCCGUAAACAUUGUGAGAGUUUUGCUUGAUCUGUAACUGAAAUCUGAUAGUCUUGUUGUGUUUGUUACGCCAUUAUGUAUGUGGAAUAGUCUUCUUGUUGUGAUGAAUAGGCGCAGGGGCAGCAAUCGGAGGAGAGUGGGGCCGAUGGGGUGGAGAACGACGAGGUCGCACGGAUGGAUGUAGCAGCACAUCAGAGUUAACUUCAUAUUUCUCGCUGACAAUUAUUUUGCUUGUACUUAGUAUCCCACAUCAUGUUAGUGCUGCAUCUAUCUUAUUUGUUUACUGAAACUAGGAGUAGUAGUACAUCAUAGUUGUUGCUGAAAAUACUCCUACGACAGGUGAUAUUGCUUUAAUCAUAAAUGAAUUGCCGUGGGAUUAUAUAAUCUCGACGAUUAGAUGAAGAUGAUAAACAAUGUCAUUGUCUUGGUUGUUUGGAUGAUUUGGAAGGAACGAUACAACAGAGUUUUGAAGGAAAAUCCUCCCGUUUGGAUCGCACGUCGAACAAAUUAAGUGUGAUGCGCACAACUGGUAUAAGUAGGGGCCAAAUUUCUUGCACAGUUGUUUGUUUAACAUAACUGCUCUGUUCUUCUCAGCUUAUCCCAUUUUUCACAACAUGUUCUGGGAGUAUCAAGCAUUUAUUUUCAAGGUCGACAGUUCCUCGUCGAACGGUGGACCUUUUACCAAGUAUGGGGUCGCUUCAGGCAAGAGGAAUAAUCUUUCCUUCGCUGUUAUCUUGGUCGCAUGCUCCUUUCAGCAAGAACGUAACAACUUGAUGUUUGAAUGGUUCAAGGCUGAUGCUUUGUGCUUUGUAUCUCUCUGUCCGACAAGGUUUACGGUUUGUGUUUCGGCAGUUACCUUCUUUUCCUAUGUAGGUUGUGAUGAGGUUGUUCUUUUCUUUUGAGCUUUGUACUGUGAGAUUAGAUAUUAUUAUUUCUUCUAUAAUGAUCAAAUACACUUCUCUUGCAUGGUUCCGAAAAAACACCUCCAUUUAAUAUUCUUACAGUUUUAAUCAUAUAUGAACUGCUAAGGAACCAUACCACCUUUCUGUUUUACUGCUAUGGUUUAUUUACUAGCUAUUUUACUUCAAGUAGUCGAUUUAUAUUUAUUUUAUGAAACAAGUAGAUUUAUAUUUAUGAGCAUGCACUUGCAGUUCAGUAAACUGGAGUAUGGUAAUUCAUUCUCCAUGAAGAAUGACAAAAAUGUUGCACCUUAAUUAGGUAUUGUUUUCUAUGUUUUUAGUUAAGAUUUUUUAGCACAAUUUUUCCUUGAUAUUCAUAUUCAUAUUUAAGGUCCAUACCAGUGUACCGCCAACUAUUGUUUUGACUACCUUUUGUUGAUGUGAACCAAUCUCUUUGAAUAUUGUCAGAUAGUUUUGAUCAUAAAUGAAUUGUCGCAGAAUUAUAUAAUCUCCAUGAUUACAAUGCCUCGAUUUAAUAUUCUUACAGUUUUAAUCAUAUGACCUUUCUGUUUGACUACUAAGAUUUUUUUACUACUAGCUAUUUUAUUUGCAGUAGUCAAUUUAUAUUGUGUUUUGAAACAAGUAGAUUUUUAUUUAUGAGCAUGCACUUUCAGUUCAGUAAACUGGAGUAUGCAUUAAUUCAUUCUCCAUGAAGUAAUGAUGGAAAUGUUGCACCUUAAUGAGGUAUUAUUUUCUAUGUUGUUUUUAAUACGUUUUGUACUACAAGAGGCACUAAACAUAGGACUUGUAGUGUAACUGGAUCUAUACAUGAUUAAGUAUAUAUACUCAAGUA